Molecule: ribosomal RNA, 2902 nt
Filed under: Escherichia coli
Lineage: Bacteria; Pseudomonadati; Pseudomonadota; Gammaproteobacteria; Enterobacterales; Enterobacteriaceae
Description: 23S ribosomal RNA
Rfam family: Bacterial large subunit ribosomal RNA
Source: RNAcentral
GGUUAAGCGACUAAGCGUACACGGUGGAUGCCCUGGCAGUCAGAGGCGAUGAAGGACGUGCUAAUCUGCGAUAAGCGUCGGUAAGGUGAUAUGAACCGUUAUAACCGGCGAUUUCCGAAUGGGGAAACCCAGUGUGAUUCGUCACACUAUCAUUAACUGAAUCCAUAGGUUAAUGAGGCGAACCGGGGGAACUGAAACAUCUAAGUACCCCGAGGAAAAGAAAUCAACCGAGAUUCCCCCAGUAGCGGCGAGCGAACGGGGAGCAGCCCAGAGCCUGAAUCAGUGUGUGUGUUAGUGGAAGCGUCUGGAAAGGCGCGCGAUACAGGGUGACAGCCCCGUACACAAAAAUGCACAUACUGUGAGCUCGAUGAGUAGGGCGGGACACGUGGUAUCCUGUCUGAAUAUGGGGGGACCAUCCUCCAAGGCUAAAUACUCCUGACUGACCGAUAGUGAACCAGUACCGUGAGGGAAAGGCGAAAAGAACCCCGGCGAGGGGAGUGAAAAAGAACCUGAAACCGUGUACGUACAAGCAGUGGGAGCCUCUUUUAUGGGGUGACUGCGUACCUUUUGUAUAAUGGGUCAGCGACUUAUAUUCUGUAGCAAGGUUAACCGAAUAGGGGAGCCGAAGGGAAACCGAGUCUUAACCGGGCGUUAAGUUGCAGGGUAUAGACCCGAAACCCGGUGAUCUAGCCAUGGGCAGGUUGAAGGUUGGGUAACACUAACUGGAGGACCGAACCGACUAAUGUUGAAAAAUUAGCGGAUGACUUGUGGCUGGGGGUGAAAGGCCAAUCAAACCGGGAGAUAGCUGGUUCUCCCCGAAAGCUAUUUAGGUAGCGCCUCGUGAAUUCAUCUCCGGGGGUAGAGCACUGUUUCGGCAAGGGGGUCAUCCCGACUUACCAACCCGAUGCAAACUGCGAAUACCGGAGAAUGUUAUCACGGGAGACACACGGCGGGUGCUAACGUCCGUCGUGAAGAGGGAAACAACCCAGACCGCCAGCUAAGGUCCCAAAGUCAUGGUUAAGUGGGAAACGAUGUGGGAAGGCCCAGACAGCCAGGAUGUUGGCUUAGAAGCAGCCAUCAUUUAAAGAAAGCGUAAUAGCUCACUGGUCGAGUCGGCCUGCGCGGAAGAUGUAACGGGGCUAAACCAUGCACCGAAGCUGCGGCAGCGACACUGUGUGUUGUUGGGUAGGGGAGCGUUCUGUAAGCCUGUGAAGGUGUACUGUGAGGUAUGCUGGAGGUAUCAGAAGUGCGAAUGCUGACAUAAGUAACGAUAAAGCGGGUGAAAAGCCCGCUCGCCGGAAGACCAAGGGUUCCUGUCCAACGUUAAUCGGGGCAGGGUGAGUCGACCCCUAAGGCGAGGCCGAAAGGCGUAGUCGAUGGGAAACAGGUUAAUAUUCCUGUACUUGGUGUUACUGCGAAGGGGGACGGAGAAGGCUAUGUUGGCCGGGCGACGGUUGUCCCGGUUUAAGCGUGUAGGCUGGUUUUCCAGGCAAAUCCGGAAAAUCAAGGCUGAGGCGUGAUGACGAGGCACUACGGUGCUGAAGCAACAAAUGCCCUGCUUCCAGGAAAAGCCUCUAAGCAUCAGGUAACAUCAAAUCGUACCCCAAACCGACACAGGUGGUCAGGUAGAGAAUACCAAGGCGCUUGAGAGAACUCGGGUGAAGGAACUAGGCAAAAUGGUGCCGUAACUUCGGGAGAAGGCACGCUGAUAUGUAGGUGAAGUCCCUCGCGGAUGGAGCUGAAAUCAGUCGAAGAUACCAGCUGGCUGCAACUGUUUAUUAAAAACACAGCACUGUGCAAACACGAAAGUGGACGUAUACGGUGUGACGCCUGCCCGGUGCCGGAAGGUUAAUUGAUGGGGUCAGCGCAAGCGAAGCUCUUGAUCGAAGCCCCGGUAAACGGCGGCCGUAACUAUAACGGUCCUAAGGUAGCGAAAUUCCUUGUCGGGUAAGUUCCGACCUGCACGAAUGGCGUAAUGAUGGCCAGGCUGUCUCCACCCGAGACUCAGUGAAAUUGAACUCGCUGUGAAGAUGCAGUGUACCCGCGGCAAGACGGAAAGACCCCGUGAACCUUUACUAUAGCUUGACACUGAACAUUGAGCCUUGAUGUGUAGGAUAGGUGGGAGGCUUUGAAGUGUGGACGCCAGUCUGCAUGGAGCCGACCUUGAAAUACCACCCUUUAAUGUUUGAUGUUCUAACGUGGACCCGUGAUCCGGGUUGCGGACAGUGUCUGGUGGGUAGUUUGACUGGGGCGGUCUCCUCCUAAAGAGUAACGGAGGAGCACGAAGGUUGGCUAAUCUCGGUCGGACAUCAGGAGGUUAGUGCAAUGGCAUAAGCCAGCUUGACUGCGAGCGUGACGGCGCGAGCAGGUGCGAAAGCAGGUCAUAGUGAUCCGGUGGUUCUGAAUGGAAGGGCCAUCGCUCAACGGAUAAAAGGUACUCCGGGGAUAACAGGCUGAUACCGCCCAAGAGUUCAUAUCGACGGCGGUGUUUGGCACCUCGAUGUCGGCUCAUCACAUCCUGGGGCUGAAGUAGGUCCCAAGGGUAUGGCUGUUCGCCAUUUAAAGUGGUACGCGAGCUGGGUUUAGAACGUCGUGAGACAGUUCGGUCCCUAUCUGCCGUGGGCGCUGGAGAACUGAGGGGGGCUGCUCCUAGUACGAGAGGACCGGAGUGGACGCAUCACUGGUGUUCGGGUUGUCAUGCCAAUGGCACUGCCCGGUAGCUAAAUGCGGAAGAGAUAAGUGCUGAAAGCAUCUAAGCACGAAACUUGCCCCGAGAUGAGUUCUCCCUGACCCUUUAAGGGUCCUGAAGGAACGUUGAAGACGACGACGUUGAUAGGCCGGGUGUGUAAGCGCAGCGAUGCGUUGAGCUAACCGGUACUAAUGAACCGUGAGGCUUAACCUU